GGUCUUGUGGUCUAGUGGUUAUCACGUCUGCUUCACGCGCAGAAGGUCACCGUUUCGAUCCCGGCAAAGACCU
This 73-nucleotide transfer RNA is filed under the name Necator americanus (New World hookworm). It matches the Rfam family "tRNA". Rfam says of the family: Transfer RNA (tRNA) molecules are approximately 80 nucleotides in length. Their secondary structure includes four short double-helical elements and three loops (D, anti-codon, and T loops). Lineage: Eukaryota; Metazoa; Nematoda; Chromadorea; Rhabditida; Ancylostomatidae. The record is from Rfam by way of RNAcentral.